RNAcentral lists this ribosomal RNA (403 nucleotides) under uncultured bacterium. Its description in RNAcentral is "partial 16S ribosomal RNA". It matches the Rfam family "Bacterial small subunit ribosomal RNA", at positions 28 to 526 of the family's 1533-position model. The record is from RNAcentral.
GACGAACGCUGGCGGCGUGCCUAAUACAUGCAAGUCGAACGCAGUGGGGACGGGUGAGUAACACGUGGGUAACCUCCCAUCAGAGGGGAUAACACUUGGAAACAGGUGCUAAACCGAUACUGAUGGAUGGACCCGCGGUGCAUUGGCUAGUUGGGGAGGUAACGGCUCACCAAGGCCACGAUGCAUAGGCGGCUGGUAAGGGUGAUCGGCCACACUGGAACUGAGACACGGCCCAGACUCCGACGGAAGGCAGCAGUAGGGAAUCUUCGGCAAUGGGCGAAAGUCUGACCGAGCAACGCCGCGGGAGUGAAGAAGGUUGUCGGAUCGUAAAACUCUGUUGUUAGAGAAGCGGUAUCUAGCCAGAAAGCCACGGCUAACUACGAGCCAGCAGCCGCGGUAAUUC